UACGGAGGGAUCUAGCGUUAUUCGGAAUUACUGGGCGUAAAGCGAGCGUAGGCUGAUUUGUAAGUUGGAUGUGAAAUCCCAGAGCUUAACUCUGGAACUGCAUCCAAAACUAUAUUUCUUGAGUUUGGUAGAGGAGAGUGGAAUUCCUAGUGUAGAGGUGAAAUUCGUAGAUAUUAGGAGGAACACCAGUGGCGAAGGCGACUCUCUGGGCCAAUACUGACGCUGAGGUUCGAAAGCGUGGGUAGCGAACAGG
This 253-nucleotide ribosomal RNA is filed under the name uncultured bacterium. Its description in RNAcentral is "partial 16S ribosomal RNA". It matches the Rfam family "Bacterial small subunit ribosomal RNA", at positions 524 to 776 of the family's 1533-position model. The record is from RNAcentral. RNAcentral also lists the same sequence under 1 other name.